Pezoporus occidentalis (night parrot) is the source of this 1054-nucleotide long non-coding RNA. RefSeq lists it as uncharacterized. NCBI's taxonomy places the organism in Eukaryota, Metazoa, Chordata, Aves, Psittaciformes, Psittacidae. The record is from RefSeq and is a predicted model, not a curated record. The transcript is spliced from 4 exons.
CCCUGGAUUUCUCUUGCACCUCUAUGCUCUCAUUGGAAGCUAGGGCUAUUUCUUCUCUGCUCUCUAUUCCUUUUUACUAAAAAUGUAAGUAAGUUGCUUAAGGCCACAGUUUGUGCAGGCUGGUGUCCAGUAUCAGAUCUCCCACCUUCAGGGUUUAUAGCCCUGCCACUAACAAGGUAUCAUAAUGGACGUGAACCAAGUGAGAGAAGAAGGGAGCUGUGGGACGUGCUGACCAUAGCAUCUAACUCUGCAGUGCUGAGAGAUUUGUAGCCAAUGCAAGGGCAGAGCUGCUUUUAGGGGUCAGGCUGGGUCACAAGGAAAGUAUUUAUGAUGUCUAGAUAGAGGAAACAUCUGUUCUUCCCAUCUGAAAGCCAUGUUGCAAGACAGUCUUGGUGGCUUUGGCUAUGAAGUCAUGCUUUCCGUUCCUUACCUGUUUGUUAGUCAGGAAAGCAAAUGCAAGCCAAAUGAGGAUUGGAAAGACCUGUUUGCCAGGUUCCUGCUUGGGGUGGGAAAGGCAGCAGAGGUGUUGCCCUUGAUGAUGCUGCCUCCUCCCUCUGCAUCUGCAACCCAGGGCUGCAGCACAGACUCGGCCCUGGUGCAGGCAAAGAUCCGCUGUCAGCUGGAGACGUGCUUGAAACGCUGCCCGCACUGCUCUGUUCUGCAUUUGAGGGUGUCUGUUUUAGUUUGAUAAGCCUGUGGGAUGUGCAGAAUUAGGAUGAUCUCUUGGAGCAUAUUCACCCUUGUGUGGGUGACUUCAGGCUUCAGACUUCCCAUGGUAAAAUUGCUUCAUACAAUGAUUUCAUUGUCCACACGUUGCAGAAAAGAAGCCCAUGUGUCGGAUAGUCAAAAGAUCAGGCAAAUAUUUGACUCGGUGUGCAACAAAAUAUUAUGAGGUUUGAAACUACUGGGCUAUGUUUUUCAUGAUGUAUCUCACCCUAUGGCUUGCUGUUUGACCUCAGGAACCUGCAAGCUGAGCGCAGUUGCAUCACUGUCACUGGAUAACUGCUGUUCCUUGAACUGAAUACAUUAGCACAAUAAAUGUGAUUGCUGGGUA